ACUCCCUCUCUCUACCUCUGUCUUUCGCUUUCCCCUCUCCCUCUUUCAGAUGUUCUAUUCUGGGAAGUUGUGCCAGGAAUAAUAGCUUCGGCGUCUUCCUCACAAACUGAAAAAUCGUGUCGGGGAGGAUGUUUUACUCACAAGGUGUCUUCGUUUAGUAGCAGCAUAAGGCUUUAGAAUAGUCAUACGGAAGUCGAUCUUUUUUUUGUGCUAAUUCUUGUUUAAUGUUUCACUCUUGAGUCUUGGACGCUUUUAUCCGACAAUUAGCGAAGUGUCAAGAGCGUUGUCAUAUGUUGUAAUUUAUUUGGGAUUUUACCGGACGUGGGUUUUUGCACGGCACCUGAAGUGUGACACGGCUGUGCCGAUGCCCUGGAGGAGUGUGAACGCUGUGUGACGUCCUCGCAAGUCGCUCUCCUUGGCUGCACAACAGGAAACACUUGUGGCCUCCCUCCUUCCUGCGCUCAGAAAGAGGGCGUGUGAAGAGGGUGUGUGCCUGGAUAGGCUUGCCAGGACUGCCAGGCGGAAGUCGUCUGUCAAAUCCCAGAGGUGGUGUGUGUUCCGCCUGCUCUUCAGCUCUUUGUCUGAUAGCGGCUUGUGGUGUGGCUGCAGACACAAAUAAACAUGUAAAACACUGAUAACUUUCACAACCUGAUGAGAGCGUGUUUGUGUGUUUGUGUGUUUGUGUGUGUGUGUGCGCCCCACACCGCCGUCAGCGUCAGUGUGUGAAUGUCAGAAUCUCGUCACACACAGGAAGUGGGAGUGAGAGUGUAUGGGGUGCGUCAGUGGCUGUGAACCGGGGUGACAAGCCGGGCGAUGCCAGAGUAGGUGGGUGCACAGACGGGGAUGAUUGUCACUAAUUGCACAGCGUUGUGUGGCAAGCUGCUUAACAACAAAAGGAAGAUCUUUUUUUGCCUCUUUCUUUUUUUGAAAAGGAGAGCUUUCCACUUCUUGAAAUGACUAUUUUUAUUGAGAACUUAUCAACUACUAUAUUGCAAUACAAUUUGACAGUUUAUUCGUUUAUUUUUGAGGGCUGGUGGUUUUGUUUUGCUCUGUAGUGUAGUGUAUAGUAAAAUCUGGUUUGGUUACUGUUUACACACAUUCCAGGAGGUUAAAAGUCAUUUGUAAUCCCUCUCUGACUUGGGAUCAGUCAUGAUGCAGAGUGUAUGUGCUGCUGAGCUCCACGUAUCUAUCAUGACAGAAGGGUACUGUAGUAGAGCCCUCCGGGUUGUUGUUUUAUCUGCUAAUUGGAGACUCAUGCAAUCCCCUUGAAAAUGGUGAGAUCCAAAAUGGCUGCCAGCGAGUCAGCUGAGCAGCAGUAGCUGUCAGAAGCCGGGAGAGGUUAGACAUGGGCGUGUCAAUGUUCAAUAUGGCGAAUAUUGGGGGUGCAACUGAAGCUGUUGGUUGAGUGGGAUGCAUGGGCUUUUGGGAGAGAGGACAUCAGUGGGGGAACAGGUUAUGGAAGCACUCUGUAUUUAGGUCAUGUUCUGUCCAAUGGAAAAUAGUUUCCAUGGGUCUUCAGUGUAGACAGACCGACAGGGAAGUAUGAUUUAUACAAUCUUGCCUGCGGGUGUGCAGAGCCAUAACUCCUCCCUCCCACACAGCACCAAUGGACUCACACAGAAGUGAGGUGAACUUAAUGUGUUAUAAUUUAUGAAUAGUGGCUUGAUACAUGGUAACAUUCAUAUUAUUAUGCCAAAUGAUUAUCCAUGCCGAUGUCCAUUGUCCAGUGACUUCUUGUUUUCCAAGCAGUAAGACUUAACCACAAAGUGAUACUGACUCACAGACAGUGGUUGCGUUGAACUAGUGACAGUCGUGUCUUGCUGAUCCAUCCUACCGUCCAUAGCGUCUUGUUCUCAGUGGAACUGCCUGCUACAUGCCUACAAGUCAACCAUAGCCACUCUGGCCCUGAGGUCACCUCGGCCCAGCCGGGCACCCAGGAGGCUCAUGGGAGGGAGGAUUGGGUAUGGGACUGACGCUGGUGCUAGCUGGGUAGUCAAUAGGAAACCCCCCCAUCUAUGUAGACUUGAGUCUAUCUUCUGUGAAGUUUAAUAACCAUAGGAGAGUGGCUACUGUAGCAGAAGGUCAGACUACCACCCGCUGGGUCAGAUAAGGCCUCUCUGAUUUACAUUUGACAUUGUGUAUGUCUGCCUGUCUCCAGUGUCGUGCAUACAUUUAGAGGUGGAGGUGGCUCAGCUCACUGGCCAGUCACACGAUGCCCUUGAGUUCUGUGCUGUCACUGUGUGUCACGCUGCAUCGACCCAGCCAGCUCGGCUCCCUCUGAAAGCCGUGGGGUUCUGUCAGCACCACCAUCUUCAGGCCUCGGCUCGGGUCGGGGAAAGGUCAAUGCUUCCAGGGAGAGCUGAGGCUGGAUUCUUCCCUCCCUGGGAGGAUUGGACCAAUGUGCUGGGGCUCAGGCACACACCUGGCAGGGCUAUGUCACAUACAGAGAGAGAUCUGGAGCUACACUGCCCCCCCCCCCCCCCCCUCUCCCUGAAGCAAACACAUUUAGGUACAUCAUGUUGGGUUGGUGGGAUUUAACAAUCCACACACGUAGACUUUCUAGCUAAGUAGAUGUGGGUAAGGCAAAUAGGGUAAGACAUGAGACCUCUGGCGUAGUUGUAGUGUGUGUGUGUGUGUGUGUGUGUGUGUGUGUGUGUGUGUGUGUGUGUGUGUGUGUGUGUGUGUGUGUGUGUGUGUGUGUGUGUGUGUGUGUGUGUGUGUGUGUGUGUGUG
Long non-coding RNA from Oncorhynchus gorbuscha (pink salmon), 2732 nucleotides. RefSeq lists it as uncharacterized. NCBI's taxonomy places the organism in Eukaryota, Metazoa, Chordata, Actinopteri, Salmoniformes, Salmonidae. The record is from RefSeq and is a predicted model, not a curated record. The transcript has 4 exons.